Molecule: RNA transcript, 3343 nt
Organism: Oncorhynchus nerka (sockeye salmon)
Lineage: Eukaryota; Metazoa; Chordata; Actinopteri; Salmoniformes; Salmonidae
Gene name: CD209 antigen-like protein C
Exons: 9
Source: RefSeq, a predicted model, not a curated record
AUUAUAUUAUCACACUAAGGCUGGUGGGAGUCAUAUCAUGUAUUAUAUUGUCACACUAAGACUGGUGGGAGUCAUAUCAUGUAUUAUAUUGUCACACUAAGGCUGGUGGGAGUCAUAUCAUGUAUUAUAUUGUCACACUAAGGCUGGUGGGAGUCAUAUCAUGUAUUAUAUUAUCACACUAAGGCUGGUGGGAGUCAUAUCAUGUAUUAUAUUAUCAUACUAAGACUGGUGGGAGUCAUGUGGUGGCCUGUGUUGUGUUGAUUUCACAAUUUAUCAUCCACUGCGGAUGACUGACAAAGAGUUUCACUACCUAAAGUCACACAGACCCAGGACAGUGUAGGGAGAAGACCCAGGACAGUGUAGGGAGAAGACACAGGACAGAUGUAUAUUAGAGUUGAGAUUAGAUGUAGAAGUUACUGUAUUUUAUCAGCAGUGUGUUAAGAUGUCAGAGGGAGUCUAUGAAAUCCCAGAUGGAUUUAAUGACGAUCAGCCUGAUGCAAUGAAGAACACAGACAUUGAUGGCCAAUUAUAUUCCAACCUAAGAGCCUUCAAGUCCAGUCCAAGAGAUGGAGUUGUUGCUUCAGACAUUUGUCUUCAACCUCCACAUGAGAGCCUGGAUUGGUCUGACUGACUCUGUUACUGAGGGGCCCUGGAAGUGGGUGGACGUCACAUCACUGAUCACAGGGUACUGGAGGACAGGACAGCCCGAUGAUAGUGGGCAAGAGGACUAUUGAGGUAUACAAUGGACAAGAUGACCCUGUAAACACAUGGAAUGAUGACAAAUGUGGCACAAAUCUCAACUGGAUCUGUGAGAAAGAGGUACAGGUAUCUAUCCAAAUGCAAUAAUCUGGGUCCUGCUGGAGAGGAGGACUAUGCUGAGAGAACACAGAAACAUGCGAGGAGAAUCUUCACUGGAUUUGUGAGAAAGUGGUUGAACAUCACCAUGACAACAUACUGUGACACAUACAGCAGCCUAGUGCACACAACCUCCUCCUCCUGUCUCUCUCUCGCUCCAAUUUCAUCAUUUAACAGAGCGACUUACAGUAAUGAGCAGUGGCGUAAAGUACUUAAGAAAAAAUACUUUAGAGUAAUUUUUUUGGGGGGGGUAUCUGUCCUUUACUAUUUAUAUUUUUGACAACUUUUACUUCACUUCAAUACUUUUUACUAUAUACAUUUUCCCUGACAACUUGCACAUUCAUCUUCUGCACAUCUAUCACUCCAGUGUUAAUGCUAAAUUGUAAAUAUUUCGCCACUCUGGACUCUUUAUUGCCUUUACCUCCCUAAUCUUACUACAUUUACACAUACUGUAUGUAUUUCUAUUGUGUUAUUGACUGUACGUUUGUUUAUCCCACAUGCAACUCUGUGUUGUUUGUGUCGGACUGCUUUGCUUUAUCUUGGCCAGGUUGCAGUUGUAAAUGAGAACUUGUUCUCAACUGGCCGACCUGGUUAAAUAAAGGUGGUAAAAAAAACUAAAGUACUCAUUACAUUUUGAAUACUUGACAGAACAGGAAAAAUUGUGAAACACAUGGUCAUCCUAACUGCAUAUAUUCUGGCAGAUUUCCAGUACAUUAGACACAACAUGUGGCCAGCAGCAUACCACCCUGCAUACCACUGCUGGUUUGCUUCUGAAGCUAAGCAGGGUUGGUCCUGGUCAGUACCUGGAUGGGAGACCAGAUGCUGCUGGAAGUGCUGUUGGAGGGCCAGUAGGAGGCACUCUUUCCUCUGGUCUAAAAAAAGAAAUGCCCCAGGGCGGCCCUGUGUAGGGUGCCGUCUUUCGGAUGGGACUUUAAACGGGUGUCCUGACUCUCUGAGGUCAUUAAAGAUCCCAUGGCACUUAUCGUAAGAGUAGGGGUGUUAACCCCGGUGUCCUGGCUAAAUUCCCAAUCUGGCCCUUGAACCGUCACCCAGUUAACAAUUGGCUCAUUCAUCCCCCUCCUCUCCCCUGUAACUAUUCCCCAGGUCGUUGCUGUAAAUGAGAACGUGUUCUCAGUCAACUUACCUGGUAAAGUAAUGCAUAAAAAAAGGACAUUAGACAACAUGAGGUCAGUACAUUACACACAACAUGAACAGGAGAAGAAAAUGUCCUUACCUUAACCACAAUGUUACUAUUUCAUCACCUUCCUCUUUUGACAUUUCCCUUUUAUUCUCUGGAUGAAGUCAUAAACAGUUAGUCAAAGACUCAGAGCAGAGACAGGUACAGUAAAGAAACAGACACAGGGGCAACUAUAUUACCAGAAUCUGUAUAUAGACAGAAAACACAGUAAGUUGUUGGAGAGGUCAUCUAUGCUUAGCCAGAUAUGAACAAGGUCACGUUUGACAGAGGUGAGAUGGAGGAGAGGAUUGUGGAUAUCUACGUCAGUGCAGACACCCUGAGAGACGGUGAGACCAGCACCAAGAGAGAAGAGACAGAGGACACUGCUCCUAAUAAUGGACCAGGAGACCAGCACUCAGAGCCUGAUAGCUCAGGGAAGAGACCCUUCCUAGUUGCUGCAGUGUUUCUGGGGCUGCUGUGUGUUCUACUGGCUGGGAUCAUAGGCCUGUCUGUCUACUACUAACACAACUGCAGAGAGAGACCAGCUACAGACCAAAUACAACAACCUGACUGAAGAGAGAGACCAGUUACAGACCAGAUACAACAACCUGACUGAUGAGAGAGACCAGCUACAGACCAGAUACAACAACCUGACUGAAGAGAGAGACAGGCUUCAGAAUUUGCUUUGUGAAAGAACAUGUUGUUCAUACGGAUGGAAGAAGUUUGAAUGCAGUUGUUACUUCAUCUCUACUGAGAAGAAAACCUGGGAGAAGAGCAGACAGGACUGUCUGGAGAGAGGAACAUACCUGGUGAUCAUAAACAGCAAAGAGGAACAGGAGUUUCUCUUCAACUUCAAGAAGAGAGUCUGGAUUGGUCUGACUGACAGAGAGACAGAGGAGACCUGGAAAUGGGUGGAUGGAACACCACUGACCACAGAGUACUGGAAUGACAAGCAGCCUGAUAGUAAAGAUCCUACUGGGGAGGAGGACUGUGUUGAGAUACAUACAGAUUGGACUCCACUUAAGGCAUGGAAUGACAUGUCAUGUGACAGGAAACUCAACUGGAUUUGUGAGAAAGUGUUUUAACAUCACCAUGACAACGUACCAUAACACAUACAGCAGUUUAGUGUACACAACUUUAUUCUUCAUUCUCUCUCUCUCUCUCUCACACACACACACUCUCUCUAUCACACUUACACACAUUUUCACACACACACGCACACACACAUACAUGCAGGUACACACACGCAUUCAAAUGCACCUAUUGUUUUAUUAGUUUGUUGUAUCAUAUUAAUAAAAGUCCUACUUAUUU